AGGACGAACGCUGGCGGCGUGCUUAACACAUGCAAGUCGUGGGCAUCUCGCAAGGGAUGACCGGCGAACGGGUGCGUAACACGUGAGCGACCUACCGAUGCGCGGGGGGAUAGCCGGCCCAACGGCCGGGUAAUACCGCAUACGCCAUUCUAGCUGCAUGGCUUGAAUGGGAAACCUCCGGGGCGGAUCGAGGGGCUCGCGACCUAUCAGCUAGUUGGCGGGGUAACGGCCCACCAAGGCGACGACGGGUAGCUGGUCUGAGAGGAUGGCCAGCCACAUUGGGACUGAGAAACGGCCCAGACUCCUACGGGAGGCAGCAGUGGGGAAUAUUGCGCAAUGGCCGCAAGGCUGACGCAGCGACGCCGCGUGUGGGAUGAAGCCCUUCGGGGUGUAAACCACUGUUGCCCGGGACGAACGAGGAGAUUUAUCUCCUGUGACGGUACCGGGUGAGGAAGCACCGGCUAACUCCGUGCCAGCAGCCGCGGU
RNAcentral lists this ribosomal RNA (486 nucleotides) under uncultured bacterium. Its description in RNAcentral is "SSU rRNA". It matches the Rfam family "Bacterial small subunit ribosomal RNA", at positions 26 to 521 of the family's 1533-position model. The record is from RNAcentral.